This 277-nucleotide ribosomal RNA is filed under the name uncultured bacterium. Its description in RNAcentral is "partial 16S ribosomal RNA". It matches the Rfam family "Bacterial small subunit ribosomal RNA", at positions 28 to 305 of the family's 1533-position model. The record is from RNAcentral.
GACGAACGCUGGCGGCGUGCUUAACACAUGCAAGUCGAACGGAAAGGCCCUUUCGGGGGUACUCGAGUGGCGAACGGGUGAGUAACACGUGGGUGAUCUGCCCUGCACUUUGGGAUAAGCCUGGGAAACUGGGUCUAAUACCGAAUACACCCUGUUGGUCGCAUGGCCUGGUGGGGGAAAGCUUUUGCGGUGUGGGAUGGGCCCGCGGCCUAUCAGCUUGUUGGUGGGGUGAUGGCCUACCAAGGCGACGACGGGUAGCCGGCCUGAGAGGGUGUCC